This is a non-coding RNA of Rhizophagus clarus, 76 nucleotides long. The record is from the annotation of a GenBank genome assembly. Lineage: Eukaryota; Fungi; Glomeromycota; Glomeromycetes; Glomerales; Glomeraceae.
CCCGGCUGGCGUAAUUGGAUAACGCACCAGACUUCUAACUAUCUGGGGAUUGCGGGUUCGAGUCCCGCGUCGGGUA